Molecule: transfer RNA, 69 nt
Filed under: Pteropus alecto (black flying fox)
Lineage: Eukaryota; Metazoa; Chordata; Mammalia; Chiroptera; Pteropodidae
Rfam family: tRNA
About the family: Transfer RNA (tRNA) molecules are approximately 80 nucleotides in length.
Source: Rfam by way of RNAcentral
GGUUCCAUAGUGUAGCAGCACGUCUGCUUUACAUGCAGAAGGUCCUGGGUUUGUGCUCCAGUGGAGCCA